AUCCACUUGAGGGAGGGAUGCCAGGUUCAGAGCCAGUUUCCAGGGAGAUAAUGCUGAGUCCUCUGUGACAAGCUAAUAUAUCAUUGAGCAGAGAUGGGAGAAGGCAAAAAGAUGCUCUUCAUGUCGGCAUUCAGGCCGACUGAUGCUACAAGGGACUGAGAAAAUAACUUGCAAGUUCAACUGCUGUGGACAGCAGAGUUAUGAUGUAGAAUGGAACUUCAAGAAUGGAUGUCCAGUAUUCAUCUUUGAAAGGAAUAUUACUGGCUUGCCAAAUUAG
This 277-nucleotide long non-coding RNA is filed under the name Coturnix japonica (Japanese quail). RNAcentral's name for it is "lncRNA (ENSCJPG00005003765.1)". The record is from RNAcentral. Lineage: Eukaryota; Metazoa; Chordata; Aves; Galliformes; Phasianidae.